UGACCUCAGAUCAGGCAAGACUACCCGCUGAAUUUAAGCAUAUCAAUAA
Molecule: ribosomal RNA, 49 nt
Filed under: Campanularia lennoxensis
Lineage: Eukaryota; Metazoa; Cnidaria; Hydrozoa; Leptothecata; Campanulariidae
Description: partial 28S ribosomal RNA
Source: RNAcentral